UACAGAGGUCUCAAGCGUUGUUCGGAUUCAUUGGGCGUAAAGGGUGCGUAGGCGGCGCGGUAAGUCGGGGGUGAAAUCCUGGAGCUCAACUCCAGAACUGCCUUCGAUACUGGCGAUCUUGAGUCCGGGAGAGGUGAGUGGAACUCCGAGUGUAGAGGUGAAAUUCGUAGAUAUUCGGAAGAACACCAGUGGCGAAGGCGGCUCACUGGGUCAUUACUGACGCUGAGGCACGAAAGCGUGGGGAAGCAAACAGGG
RNAcentral lists this ribosomal RNA (255 nucleotides) under uncultured bacterium. Its description in RNAcentral is "partial 16S ribosomal RNA". It matches the Rfam family "Bacterial small subunit ribosomal RNA", at positions 524 to 777 of the family's 1533-position model. The record is from RNAcentral.